RNAcentral lists this ribosomal RNA (271 nucleotides) under uncultured bacterium. RNAcentral describes it as "partial 16S ribosomal RNA". It matches the Rfam family "Bacterial small subunit ribosomal RNA", at positions 524 to 794 of the family's 1533-position model. The record is from RNAcentral.
UACAGGGGAUGCAAGUGUUAUCCGGAAUUAUUGGGCGUAAAGCGUUUGUAGGUUGAUUUGUAAGUCUUUUGUUAAAUUAUUAAGCUUAACUUAAAACAUGCAAAGGAAACUAUUUAUCUAGAGUUAAGUAGGGGUAAAGGGAAUUUCCAGUGAAAUGGUGAAAUAUUUAGAUAUUGGAAAGAACACCAAAGGCGAAGGCAUUUUACUAGACUAAAACUGACACUGAGAAACGAAAGCUAGGGGAGCGAACGGGAUUAGAUACCCGUGUAGU